UGAGGUCUGAAGCAUAUUUUCUCUAGCCAAUGCAAUCAUGAGCACGAGGCUUCUCCGGUGUGUAGCCCUUUAUCUCCUGGUAGCAGGCUCCUUUGACUGCCAAGUUAUCCAGACUCCACAACAUCAGUUCAUAGGGAAAGGACAGAAAGCAAAAAUGAGCUGUAUUCCUGAAAAGGGACAUGCUUUUGUUUAUUGGUACCAACAGAAGCAAAACAAAGAGUUAAAGUUUUUGAUUUUCUUUCAACGUCAAGAAGUUCGUGACCGAAUUGACUUGUUCAAAGAGCGAUUCUUAGCUGAAUGUCCCUUAAACUCACCCUGCAGCUUGGAAAUCCAUUCCUCUGAAAGAGGAGACUCAGCGGUAUACCUCUGUGCCAGCAGUCUGUCCACAGCACUGAAAUGUUUAUUGUCUUUAGCACACAAAUUCUCCAUGGAGCAAACUCAGGAAGCAGGUGAUACUCUGGUUUGGACUGAAAUAAGAGAAGUUAACUGGAGCCAGUGA
This is a non-coding RNA of Apodemus sylvaticus (European woodmouse), 499 nucleotides long. Lineage: Eukaryota; Metazoa; Chordata; Mammalia; Rodentia; Muridae. The record is from the annotation of a RefSeq genome assembly.